RNAcentral lists this long non-coding RNA (1195 nucleotides) under Aquilegia coerulea. RNAcentral's name for it is "long non-coding RNA (ACOE_LNC001150)". The record is from RNAcentral. Lineage: Eukaryota; Viridiplantae; Streptophyta; Magnoliopsida; Ranunculales; Ranunculaceae.
CUGGCCUUCUCUUCUUGCUGUCAACUUGUCAAGGUUUCAAGGUAAGAGAAAAAAUUUUAUUUCAUUUUCAUCUUUUUUGUGUUAAUUAAGAUCUUAUGUCUAUUGAUGUCAAUGGAAAUUAUAGGUUAUAGAUAGAAGCUUAAAAAACAUAUGAAACAUCAUCAGUUAGAUCUUGGUUUGGCCAGUCUGAUCUAUUCUCUAUUAGUACGUGUGUUCAAAACUUUCUUUCCCUUGUAUUAGUUAGUUGAUAAAUCCACAUAUUUAUUCAUUGUUAUUCACAAUGAUGGAUCCCUCCUGUAAUAAUAACAUAGAAGAAUAGAACAUGUCAAUGUUAUGGUAUAUAUGUUGGUAACAAAGGCAAAACAACCCUUUUUUUACUCCUUUUGUUUAUAUUAACUUGUGAUUAAGGAUGAUAGAUUUCCCUUCUCCCAUUUUCCUACUCAUAUAGUACUAGUGUAGUUAGUUAAGCCAUAAACCCAUAACAUAAGCAUUAAUGCAUGCUAAACAAUAUACCAAUCCUUGGUUUGUUGUAUUUAACCACCAAAAAAGUUUGAUGUUUUUUUUGUUUCCAUCUCCCCCCCAGAUGGAUCCCAAUGAUUUGGCUAAGGAAAAGCUUAGGACUGAAAUCAAUAACAAUGAAGAACUUAAGAGGUGGGCAUCAGAACAAGAUAUAGAGAAUUUGAUCAGUCUAGGAGUGCAGUUUCAACGUGUACCUGUUCUAGCCAUUUCAGAUGUGUACCUUACAACUAAGUCUAAUGUUCAAGCAUCCAAGGUUCUGUUGCAGCUUAUUGAGGUAAAUUCAAUAAAAGAUUGUAAAUGUUAUUUAAUAACUUAUAAUGUAUAAGAUUUUCACCAUUUUACAUAUAUAUGCAUGUGAUGUUAACUAUCAAUUUAUUCUACUUGUGUGAGCAGCCCCCUGCAAAUCUUCCGGUAACCUUGGGCAUUGGUGAGGUGGUGGAAACGAAUCCUGCUGAAAGUUGAUUGUGCAGUUUGAAGUUGGAGAGUUGAUUGUGUGGCUCGAAGCUAUAUAGAUGUCUUGUCGUCUGGAAUGAAAACUAGUAGUACUUUUGUUUGAGAUUGUUUGUUUUUAUUGAUCAGAUUAUUAUGCUUUUAUUGUCUAAUUACAGUAUGUACUUCACUUGUUUUGGAUUAUGGUAAUGGUAAUGGUUAUUUGGAUUAAUCUUAUUGCAUGUAU